This 910-nucleotide ribosomal RNA is filed under the name marine metagenome. RNAcentral describes it as "bacterial SSU rRNA". It matches the Rfam family "Bacterial small subunit ribosomal RNA", at positions 346 to 1274 of the family's 1533-position model. The record is from RNAcentral.
AGGCAGCAGUAGGGAAUCUUGCACAAUGGAGGAAACUCUGAUGCAGCGAUGCCGCGUGAGUGAAGAAGGCCCUUGGGUUGUAAAGCUCUUUCGUCGGGGAAGAAAAUGACUGUACCCGAAUAAGAAGGUCCGGCUAACUUCGUGCCAGCAGCCGCGGUAAUACGAAGGGACCUAGCGUAGUUCGGAAUUACUGGGCUUAAAGAGUUCGUAGGUGGUUAAAAAAGUUGGUGGUGAAAGCCCAGAGCUUAACUCUGGAACGGCCAUCAAAACUUUUUAGCUAGAGUAUGAUAGAGGAAAGCAGAAUUUCUAGUGUAGAGGUGAAAUUCGUAGAUAUUAGAAAGAAUACCAAUUGCGAAGGCAGCUUUCUGGAUCAUUACUGACACUGAGGAACGAAAGCAUGGGUAGCGAAGAGGAUUAGAUACCCUCGUAGUCCAUGCCGUAAACGAUGUGUGUUAGAUGUUGGAAAUUUAUUUUCAGUAUCGCAGCGAAAGCAAUAAACACACCGCCUGGGGAGUACGACCGCAAGGUUAAAACUCAAAUGAAUUGACGGGGACCCGCACAAGUAGUGGAGCAUGUGGUUUAAUUCGAAGAUACGCGCAGAACCUUACCAACACUUGACAUGUUUGUCGCGACUCUAAGAGAUUAGAGUUUUCGGUUCGGCCGGACAAAACACAGGUGCUGCAUGGCUGUCGUCAGCUCGUGUCGUGAGAUGUUGGGUUAAGUCCCGCAACGAGCGCAACCCUCACUUUUAGUUGCCACCAUUUAGUUGGGCACUCUGAAAGAACUGCCAGUGAUAAGCUGGAGGAAGGUGGGGAUGACGUCAAGUCCUCAUGGCCCUUACGUGUUGGGCUACACACGUGCUACAAUGGCAUUUUACAUAGGAAGCAAGACGGCGACGUCAAGCAAAUCC